RNAcentral lists this ribosomal RNA (560 nucleotides) under Botryosphaeria dothidea. Its description in RNAcentral is "eukaryotic LSU rRNA". The stretch from base 187 to 340 matches the Rfam family "5.8S ribosomal RNA". The record is from RNAcentral. Lineage: Eukaryota; Fungi; Ascomycota; Dothideomycetes; Botryosphaeriales; Botryosphaeriaceae.
GGGUAAUCGAGUUGAUUCGGGCUCCGGCCCGAUCCUCCCACCCUUUGUGUACCUACCUCUGUUGCUUUGGCGGGCCGCGGUCCUCCGCGGCCGCCCCCCUCCCCGGGGGGGUGGCCAGCGCCCGCCAGAGGACCAUCAAACUCCAGUCAGUAAACGAUGCAGUCUGAAAAACAUUUAAUAAACUAAAACUUUCAACAACGGAUCUCUUGGUUCUGGCAUCGAUGAAGAACGCAGCGAAAUGCGAUAAGUAAUGUGAAUUGCAGAAUUCAGUGAAUCAUCGAAUCUUUGAACGCACAUUGCGCCCUUUGGUAUUCCGAAGGGCAUGCCUGUUCGAGCGUCAUUACAACCCUCAAGCUCUGCUUGGUAUUGGGCACCGUCCUUUGCGGGCGCGCCUCAAAGACCUCGGCGGUGGCGUCUUGCCUCAAGCGUAGUAGAACAUACAUCUCGCUUCGGAGCGCAGGGCGUCGCCCGCCGGACGAACCUUCUGAACUUUUCUCAAGGUUGACCUCGGAUCAGGUAGGGAUACCCGCUGAACUUAAGCAUAUCAAUAAGCGGAGGAA